Molecule: non-coding RNA, 108 nt
Filed under: Vibrio ezurae
Lineage: Bacteria; Pseudomonadati; Pseudomonadota; Gammaproteobacteria; Vibrionales; Vibrionaceae
Also listed under: 1 other name
Description: Glycine sequence
Rfam family: Glycine riboswitch aptamer
About the family: This family represents the bacterial glycine riboswitch. Glycine riboswitches usually consist of two metabolite-binding aptamers domains with similar structures in tandem. The aptamers cooperatively bind glycine to regulate the expression of downstream genes.
Source: RNAcentral
GGAGGAAUCUCUGGAGAGAGCCGUACUACUUUGAUGUAGCAGUCGGCCGCCGAAGGAGCAAGCCCAAUUUUGGGUGAAACUCUCAGGCAAAAGGACAGAGGAGUGAAA